UGUUUCGGCUAGGGGGCCAUCCCGGCUUACCAACCCGAUGCAAACUGCGAAUACCGGAGAAUGUUAUCACGGGAGACACACGGCGGGUGCUAACGUCCGUCGUGAAGAGGGAAACAACCCAGACCGCCAGCUAAGGUCCCAAAGUCAUGGUUAAGUGGGAAACGAUGUGGGAAGGCCCAGACAGCCAGGAUGUUGGCUUAGAAGCAGCCAUCAUUUAAAGAAAGCGUAAUAGCUCACUGGUCGAGUCGGCCUGCGCGGAAGAUGUAACGGGGCUAAACCAUGCACCGAAGCUGCGGCAGCGACGCUGAUGCGUUGUUGGGUAGGGGAGCGUUCUGUAAGCCUGCGAAGGUGGCCUGUGAGGGUUGCUGGAGGUAUCAGAAGUGCGAAUGCUGACAUAAGUAACGAUAAAGCGGGUGAAAAGCCCGCUCGCCGGAAGACCAAGGGUUCCUGUCCAACGUUAAUCGGGGCAGGGUGAGUCGACCCCUAAGGCGAGGCCGAAAGGCGUAGUCGAUGGGAAACGGGUUAAUAUUCCCGUACUUGGUGUUACUGCGAAGGGGGGACGGAGAAGGCUAUGUUGGCCGGGCGACGGUUGUCCCGGUUUAAGCGUGUAGGUGUGUGUUCCAGGUAAAUCCGGUUCACUUUAACACUGAGGCGUGAUGACGAGGCACUACGGUGCUGAAGCAA
This 684-nucleotide ribosomal RNA is filed under the name Salmonella enterica subsp. enterica serovar Montevideo. RNAcentral's name for it is "partial 23S ribosomal RNA". It matches the Rfam family "Bacterial large subunit ribosomal RNA", at positions 911 to 1593 of the family's 2925-position model. Lineage: Bacteria; Pseudomonadati; Pseudomonadota; Gammaproteobacteria; Enterobacterales; Enterobacteriaceae. The record is from RNAcentral.